RNAcentral lists this ribosomal RNA (466 nucleotides) under uncultured bacterium. Its description in RNAcentral is "bacterial SSU rRNA". It matches the Rfam family "Bacterial small subunit ribosomal RNA", at positions 338 to 795 of the family's 1533-position model. The record is from RNAcentral.
CCUACGGGGGGCACCAGUAGGGAAUCUUCCGCAAUGGACGAAAGUCUGACGGAGCAACGCCGCGUGAGUGAUGAAGGCUUUCGGGUCGUAAAACUCUGUUGUUCGGGAAGAACAAGUGCUAGUUGAAUAGGCUGGCACCUUGACGGUACCUAACCAGAAAGCCACGGCUAACUACGUACCAGCAGCCGCGGUAAUACGUAGGUGGCAAGCGUUAUCCGGAAUUAUUGGGCGUAAAGCGCGCGCAGGUGGUUUCUUGAGUCUGAUGUGAAAGCCCACGGCUCAACCGUGGAGGGUCAUUGGAAACUGGGAGACUUGAGUGCAGAAGAGGAAAGUGGAAUUCCAUGUGUAGCGGUGAAAUGCGUAGAGAUAUGGAGGAACACCAGUGGCGAAGGCGACUUUCUGGUCUGUAACUGACACUGAGGCGCGAAAGCGCGGGGAGCAAACAGGAUUAGAUACCCGAGUAGUC